AUGGAAAUAUAUUUGUCGAUAUCAGGCUCAUUUUUGUCUAAACAUGACAAGGAUGUAAACUCUGAUAAUAUGAAAGUCAUUGACACAAUGAAGAAUGGAGGACAAUCGACGGGAGUUGCAGUGACAGUCUUCGAGGAUUGCUACUUCAUGGCAUGUGAUUUUCCAUUGACUAGAUUUGAACAUUGUAAUAAGGUAGCUAAUAAGGUUGCUCAUGAACUUGCUAGGCUAGCGAAAGUCUCUGUAAUUGGUUUGAGGAGCCUAUAG
This 264-nucleotide ribosomal RNA is filed under the name Triticum aestivum (bread wheat). RNAcentral's name for it is "partial small subunit ribosomal RNA". Lineage: Eukaryota; Viridiplantae; Streptophyta; Magnoliopsida; Poales; Poaceae. The record is from RNAcentral.